Molecule: transfer RNA, 90 nt
Filed under: Rickettsiales bacterium
Lineage: Bacteria; Pseudomonadati; Pseudomonadota; Alphaproteobacteria; Rickettsiales
Description: tRNA-Ser
Rfam family: tRNA
About the family: Transfer RNA (tRNA) molecules are approximately 80 nucleotides in length.
Source: RNAcentral
GGAAAGGUGGCCGAGUGGCUUAAGGCACACGUUUGGAGGGCGUGCGUACUGUAAUAGGUGCCGAGGGUUCAAAUCCCUCCCUUUCCGCCA